UGGGCUUUACUUAAGAGCAGCAGGUUAUGCGAUAGGAUCUUCCCUUGAGUAGGGAUGAUUCUCAAGGUUAUGCCCGUGUAGCGAUCAUAACAUCAGGAUGUUUUGCUGAUCAAUACAGGACUUCUAUGGAAAACUCUUAAACACCAUUGAGCAUAACGUCGAGUAUUUUAAGAGCUAAUCCAUGCAAUGAUCAGAAUUUCUACAACGUAUUAUCUGGAGCCUUCAAAAUAUUACCAUUUCAAGAGGUGAAUUCAAAUACAACUUUGCAUUGCUGAGUUAUCUUUCGGUGGGAUAGUGAUACUGUAUAUAAUACACAAAAAGUGAAAGAUUGGAGAGACAUGAAGAAAAGUUGCCAUCAUAUCAACCUGAAGAGAUUGAAUAAACCAGCACAGGUCUCAAAAGGUCUUUCAGUCAGAAUUCGUCCUGGUGCUGAGUUUACUGUUUCAUAUAAUGACAAGAAACAGACAGAGGAAUGAAGGGAAUGUCACCUCAUUGUAGAAGUUGGUGUUGCUGAUUUCCCUGUAGUGUCUCUGCUCCUGUGCAAAUGAAGAAGGAGGUGUCUGUUUUAAGGCGACUGAACAUCAUCUGCAUCACCAAGCAUGGCACAGGAAGUCAGAAGGUGUUUCAUUGCUCCUUUACAACCAGUGGACUGCUAUGGUUGCUCAAGCAGAUAAUAAGCUGGCCGUACAGUGGUAAGCCUUGGCAUGGUUUAUUUUCUGUUCACAGGAAAAUCCUACCUUUACUAUUGAUGUAGAGAGUGUGUCAAAAUGUUGCAGUCAAAUGCAGGUGCUCUGAAAUUUUGUGCCUGUAGAAGACAUAAGGAAAAACUGUGGACGGAUUCGUGGAGAGCACUAGGGUGGAAUAGUGCUAUCUUGAAAAUAUGCAGGAUGUCGGUUACUCCACAGGGCUGGUCAGCAGCUGUGCACUGUAAAUGCACUGAACAGGUGGAGCAUAGCAGGCUGCUUGGCUUUGCUGUAAAGUAUCUCUGGGCAAGUUGAAUGAGGUUUUGCUGAUCUGACAGCAUUUCAGAACAUCAUCCAGCUCCAGUGAAGCGAUCUUAAAAUUUAAGCAUUUUCAGCCAAUAAACCUGUUGAUGGGACUAAUAGAAGUAACAUGCUUGAAACAAGUGUGAGAAAUAUGAAGAGAAAGGUAAUCAAGACGUUUUUUCCCCCUCAGCCAGCGUAUGAGAUAUUUGUAGACGUACCAGUUGAACCAUUCAAACAUCUGAUAUAUGUCACUUAUAAAAAUCUAUAUGUUUACCCUAGCAUAUAGGCAUACAGAAAUUUUAGCAGCCUUGCAGAUAACAGAAGGAAAAAUAACUUGAGGAUUUGGAAUAUUAAGGAGCUUGACGUUUUGAGAGCUGUUGAACACUGUACAUUCUCUCAGCAAUGAUCAACACAAAGUUAUUUAGCACAGGUGUUUAUGUAAUUGAGAUACAUUAGGAAAACUAGCAGUGCUCAAUGAGCCUCAAACUGGCAUUUAUGCUCUUAUGUUUAAAUACACUUCUGUUAAUUAUAAAGAGUUAUGGUAUGAAAUAAAUACCAUAACUUGCUCGUGUAAGAAAACUUGCUGAUGGAUUUUCGAGGCACAUAUUCCUUCAUUUCUUAAGUUGCUGCAUAGCUGGAUUUUGUAACAGACAAUGUAGAACACAAAACCACUUCAAGGAUUUCUACACAGUGAGUUUGAGCCAAAACGUUUCUCCUGCUACUGCAGUAUUGGCAACAUUCCCUAACAGCAAAUGUGCAGCUGAAAACAAUACAGAUGUAAAUGAGUGAGUUUUCAAAUUCUAAUCCUGUGAUACUUUUAUCAC
This is a long non-coding RNA of Lagopus muta (rock ptarmigan), 1810 nucleotides long. RefSeq lists it as uncharacterized. NCBI's taxonomy places the organism in Eukaryota, Metazoa, Chordata, Aves, Galliformes, Phasianidae. The record is from RefSeq and is a predicted model, not a curated record. The transcript is spliced from 4 exons.